This 950-nucleotide ribosomal RNA is filed under the name Pseudomonas sp. RNAcentral's name for it is "bacterial SSU rRNA". It matches the Rfam family "Bacterial small subunit ribosomal RNA", at positions 55 to 1002 of the family's 1533-position model. Lineage: Bacteria; Pseudomonadati; Pseudomonadota; Gammaproteobacteria; Pseudomonadales; Pseudomonadaceae. The record is from RNAcentral.
AUGCAGUCGAGCGGUAGAGAGAAGCUUGCUUCUCUUGAGAGCGGCGGACGGGUGAGUAAUGCCUAGGAAUCUGCCUGGUAGUGGGGGAUAACGUUCGGAAACGGACGCUAAUACCGCAUACGUCCUACGGGAGAAAGCAGGGGACCUUCGGGCCUUGCGCUAUCAGAUGAGCCUAGGUCGGAUUAGCUAGUUGGUGAGGUAAUGGCUCACCAAGGCGACGAUCCGUAACUGGUCUGAGAGGAUGAUCAGUCACACUGGAACUGAGACACGGUCCAGACUCCUACGGGAGGCAGCAGUGGGGAAUAUUGGACAAUGGGCGAAAGCCUGAUCCAGCCAUGCCGCGUGUGUGAAGAAGGUCUUCGGAUUGUAAAGCACUUUAAGUUGGGAGGAAGGGUUGUAGAUUAAUACUCUGCAAUUUUGACGUUACCGACAGAAUAAGCACCGGCUAACUCUGUGCCAGCAGCCGCGGUAAUACAGAGGGUGCAAGCGUUAAUCGGAAUUACUGGGCGUAAAGCGCGCGUAGGUGGUUUGUUAAGUUGGAUGUGAAAUCCCCGGGCUCAACCUGGGAACUGCAUUCAAAACUGACUGACUAGAGUAUGGUAGAGGGUGGUGGAAUUUCCUGUGUAGCGGUGAAAUGCGUAGAUAUAGGAAGGAACACCAGUGGCGAAGGCGACCACCUGGACUAAUACUGACACUGAGGUGCGAAAGCGUGGGGAGCAAACAGGAUUAGAUACCCUGGUAGUCCACGCCGUAAACGAUGUCAACUAGCCGUUGGAAGCCUUGAGCUUUUAGUGGCGCAGCUAACGCAUUAAGUUGACCGCCUGGGGAGUACGGCCGCAAGGUUAAAACUCAAAUGAAUUGACGGGGGCCCGCACAAGCGGUGGAGCAUGUGGUUUAAUUCGAAGCAACGCGAGAACCUUACCAGGCCUUGACAUCCAAUGAACUUUCUA